AUGGAUCAGGAGCUGAUUGAGCACCUUGAGGCCAAAGUGAGUGCUGAGAGUGCGAGAUCUCACCCUCUCAUUGAUUUGUUCAUACCAACCAUCGACAGCGAGCAAGGCAUAUGCUACACCCAUCCUGAGAAACUUCCAGGCAUCACACUGAGUGGCCUAAGCAAGCAUUUCUUCCAGCGCAAUUCCAGGGCGUUCAAAAGGGGCACGUGGACGCGUCGCAAGAUACAGUCGGAGUGCGGCAUGCACGCGCUGUGGCACAAGACCGGCAAUACCUUGCCAGUGAUGGUCAACGGCCGGCAGACGGGCAGCAAAAAGCUUCUGGUGCUGCACACCAACAAGAACUUCGACCAGCAGAGGACCAACUGGGUGAUGCACCUGUACCACCUCGGGGACCUGGAGCAAGAGAAGGAGCGGGAGUUGGUCCUCUGCAAGAUUUUGUACCAGACGAACACUAGGGCCAGGACUAAAAAGAUUAUAAGUUAG
This 483-nucleotide ribosomal RNA is filed under the name Triticum aestivum (bread wheat). Its description in RNAcentral is "partial small subunit ribosomal RNA". The record is from RNAcentral. Lineage: Eukaryota; Viridiplantae; Streptophyta; Magnoliopsida; Poales; Poaceae.